CUCAAAAAGGAAGAGAAACUUCCAGCUCGCCUUGAAAGACUAGCUCUUGCCGUAAAUGCUUUGCAUAAAUCUACGCAAAGGCCGGGUCACCGAGGCUGGAUGCUGGUGACAGAAACAGUGUUUCACUGCGGUGCUUCUUUCUGAACAGCUGGGUUCAUUAAUUAAUUCAUUCAUUUAUUUAUUCACUGCAAACUAGCCGCUAGCGUUAGGUAUUAACUUGUCACGCACGUUGCUUUUUUUUGUUUCUCCGUACAGGUGACUGCAGCCCAUGGAUUGUGUCAUUUGCUUGGCUACCAGCACAACACAAAAUCAGAGUGGCGACAGAUGUACCAGAAGGAGAAGGAAAUCCUGGAGGAACUGAGCAGACUCA
This is a non-coding RNA of Struthio camelus australis, 370 nucleotides long. The record is from RefSeq and is a predicted model, not a curated record. NCBI's taxonomy places the organism in Eukaryota, Metazoa, Chordata, Aves, Struthioniformes, Struthionidae.